AGGGAGCAUCGAUAGUUUUGAAUGUUUCCCUAUACAAGUCUUCCAAUACAAAAGCUUUUCUGCAAUUCCUGCGUGUAGUUUCUUAAGAAAGAUCUGCAUGUCUCAAAUUGCCAGAAACAGAU
Molecule: small nucleolar RNA, 122 nt
Organism: Andrographis paniculata
Lineage: Eukaryota; Viridiplantae; Streptophyta; Magnoliopsida; Lamiales; Acanthaceae
Product: small nucleolar RNA snoR104
Exons: 1
Source: RefSeq, a predicted model, not a curated record